This 257-nucleotide ribosomal RNA is filed under the name uncultured Acanthamoeba. RNAcentral's name for it is "partial 18S ribosomal RNA". The record is from RNAcentral. Lineage: Eukaryota; Discosea; Longamoebia; Acanthamoebidae.
CUCAUUAAACCCCCCCCUCAGUUAUAGUUUAUCUGAUGGUCUCUUUGUUCUUCUUUUUACCUACUUGGAUAACCGUGGUAAUUCUAGAGCUAAUACAUGCGCAAGGUCCCGAGCGCGGGGGGUGGGGCUUCACGGCCCUGUCCUCGCAUGCGCAGAGGGAUGUAUUUAUUAGGUUAAAACCAGCGGCAGGGGUCAGCAAUGGCCCCCUGCCAAACACUCCUGGUGAUUCAUAGUAACUCUUUCGGAUCGCAUUCAUG